AAUAAAUGCAGUUGUGAAAAUUCGUGUUCAACGUUUGACUAUCCGUCUUAUUUUAAAAAAAUUAGUCACACAUAAAGUACUAUUCAUAUUUUAUCAUCUAAUAGCAAUAAAAAUAGUAAUCAUAUUUUUUUUCAAAUAAAACGAACGGUUAAACGUUGGAGAUGAAUAGUGCAAAACUAUAUUUAUU
RNAcentral lists this microRNA precursor (187 nucleotides) under Oryza nivara. RNAcentral describes it as "MIR812 microRNA precursor family". It matches the Rfam family "MIR812 microRNA precursor family". Lineage: Eukaryota; Viridiplantae; Streptophyta; Magnoliopsida; Poales; Poaceae. The record is from Rfam by way of RNAcentral.